CCAGACUCCUACGGGAGGCAGCAGUGGGGAAUAUUGCACAAUGGGGGGAACCCUGAUGCAGCGACGCCGCGUGAAGGAUGAAGUAUUUCGGUAUGUAAACUUCUAUCAGCAGGGAAGAAAAUGACGGUACCUGACUAAGAAGCCCCGGCUAACUACGUGCCAGCAGCCGCGGUAAUACGUAGGGGGCAAGCGUUAUCCGGAUUUACUGGGUGUAAAGGGAGCGUAGACGGCAUGGCAAGUCUGAUGUGAAAACCCGGGGCUCAACCCCGGGACUGCAUUGGAAACUGUCAGGCUAGAGUGUCGGAGAGGCAAGUGGAAUUCCUAGUGUAGCGGUGAAAUGCGUAGAUAUUAGGAGGAACACCAGUGGCGAAGGCGGCUUGCUGGACGAUGACUGACGUUGAGGCUCGAAAGCGUGGGGAGCAAACAGGAUUAGAUACCCGCGUAA
RNAcentral lists this ribosomal RNA (445 nucleotides) under uncultured bacterium. Its description in RNAcentral is "bacterial SSU rRNA". It matches the Rfam family "Bacterial small subunit ribosomal RNA", at positions 331 to 793 of the family's 1533-position model. The record is from RNAcentral.